AACUAAAUAACACAAGAUAUCACAAGAAUCAUCAUCACUAGGUUCCUUAUGAAAUUCGGCCAUGGUGGGUGCAUAAACACUAUGGUUUUUCAUACUUGAUUUUUUUCACUUUAAAUCAUUAGUUCCUAACCAAAUCACUUGAAAUAAAAUCAAAUCCACCAUCAACAUAACAUAAGGAAAAUUCAGCCAAUGAGAGUGAUGGAAGAACAUGAAUUUUUCUUGUUUGCUUUUCAUGCUUGAUUUUUACACUUUACAUCAUAAAACAACUAAAAAUACCUAAAUAGCAUGCAAUUCAUCAAAGUCCAUUUUCCAAUUUCUCUCUUGAAAAAUUCAGCCAAUGGGUAUGGGUGAAGGGCAUGAAAUUUCUUACUUGUUUUCCAUGCUAAACAUCACCAAACAACUAAAAACAUUAGAAUAACAUGAAAUCUUGCUAAAUCCAAGAUCAAAAUCCUUUCCCCCAUGCCCAGCCAGCAAAGGUAUCUUCAUGCAAACUUGAUUCUCAACCAUGGAAAAUGAAAAAGAAUGCAUAGGAAAGGUAGAUCACAAGUUAAAAUCAAGAAAUUUUACCUUUACUUGCUUAAUUCCUUAAAAUCCACCAAUUUUCUCUUGAAUUUUUCUAACUAGGUUUUGUUCUUUUUUUCUUUCCUGUUUUCCUUGGUGAGGCC
This 665-nucleotide long non-coding RNA is filed under the name Theobroma cacao (cacao). RNAcentral's name for it is "long non-coding RNA (TCAC_LNC005932)". The record is from RNAcentral. Lineage: Eukaryota; Viridiplantae; Streptophyta; Magnoliopsida; Malvales; Malvaceae.